Long non-coding RNA from Limulus polyphemus (Atlantic horseshoe crab), 2241 nucleotides. RefSeq lists it as uncharacterized. The record is from RefSeq and is a predicted model, not a curated record. NCBI's taxonomy places the organism in Eukaryota, Metazoa, Arthropoda, Merostomata, Xiphosura, Limulidae. The transcript is spliced from 2 exons.
GCUGGUAAUAACAUGGGAAGUGUUGGUGGUCUUUUAUUUGCCUUCGUAAGGCUUAACUUGGCGCGCUUUUAUAAGACUUAUUUCAAUUUGCAUUUAAUCUUGUUUCGGCUCAAAAAAAGUGUUUAAAAACUUAUCUUUAUUUUUUCUCCAUUUUACUCAGAGCGCAAUUUUCUUCCUUUUUUUACACAUAAAACAUUCCCUAAUGAUCAAGUCAGGAAAACUACAGUGAUCAUACUUUGUGACGCAAAACAUUCCCUAAUGACCGAGUCAAAAAAUGCCAGUGAUUAUACUAUGUGAUAGCAUUUAGAGAGCUGACUUAACUAGCGGAAGUUUUUUUUUUUAACAGAUCGUAAUCCAGAUGGGAGAAGAAGUGGGUGGUAUGGUAAGUGUUCGAACUGGAACAGGCGCCAAAAGCCUUUCGUGUCCACUGAAGUACGUGCAGGAAGUCUGAGCUAUGUUGGUAUCGCUACCAUCAUGUGAUUGGCGGGCAGCACUCCAAAUCCACCGACCUCUAGCCUCUACUCCAAGUGACUUCAAAUGUCAAUCGGAAAAACCCUUGAUCUUAGGAGUUCAAGGGAUGACCACUUUAUCCUCCUGACACCCACCCUCUAACUGUCUUUAUGCACCCGAAGCAACCAAAGUUAUGGUUUCAAUGAUGAGGCCAUCAGUGACUAACUUAACAAAAAAAAGUGUUAUUAUUGCUACCACUUUACGUUCACGCCUUCUUUUCUUUUGUUUCAAAGAUCUGCGUUUUUAGCUCGUUUUUUUCUUUCCGGAAACAUUUUCUCGAAUAUAAUUCUUAAAUUUUCUUCUGUUUAUACGACCUACAUUUUCUCGUUAAAAACAGUUUUAAUAAUGUUAAUGCAAGCAAAAACGCUAUAUCUUCAAGAUAACUUAAACAGCAGUACAUCUUCAUCAAGAUUAUUUAAACAGCAGUAUAUCUUCAUCAAGAUUUUUUAAACAGAAGCAGUAUAUCUUCAUCAAUAUUAUUUAAACAGAAGCAGUAUAUCUUCAUCAAGAUUACUUAAACAGAAGCAGUAUAUCUUCAUCAAGGUAACUUAAACAGCAGUAUAUCUUCAUCAAGAUAACUUAAACAGCAGUACAUCUUCAUCAAGAUUACUUAAACAGAAGUAUAUCUCUAUCAAGAUAACUUAAACAGCAGUAUAUCUUCAUCAAGAUAACUUAAACAGCAGUAUAUCUUCAUCAAGAUGACGUAAACAGAAGUAUAUCUUCAUCAAGAUAACGUAAACAGAAGUAUAUCUCUAUCAAGAUUACUUAAACAGAAGUAUAUCUCUAUUAAUAAAACUUUAACAGUGGUAUAUCUCCAUCAAGAUAACUUAAAUAGCAGUAUAUCUUUUGUAUCAAGAUAACUUAAACAGCAGUAAAUCUUUAUCAAGAUUACUUAAACAGCAAUAUAUCUUUUGUAUCAAGAUAACUUAAACAGCAGUACAUCUUCAUCAAGAUUACUUAAAAGCAGUACAUCUUCAUCAAGAUUAUUUAAACAGAAGCAGUAUAUCUUCAUCAAGAUAACUUAAACAGCUGUAUAUAUUCAUCAAGAUUACUUAAACAGCAGUAUAUCUUCAUCAAGGUUACUUAAACAGAAGCAGUACAUCUUCAUCAAGAAUAAUUAAACAGCAGUAUAUCUUCAUCAAUAUUACUUAAAUAGAAGCAGUACAUCUUCAUCAAUAUUACUUAAAAGCAGUAUAUCUUCAUCAAGAUAACUUAAACAGCUGUAUAUCUUCAUCAAGAUUACUUAAACAGCAGUAUAUCUUCAUCAAGGUUACUUAAACAGAAGCAGUAUAUCUUCAUCAAGAUAACUUAAACAGCUGUAUAUAUUCAUCAAGAUUACUUAAACAGCAGUAUAUCUUCAUCAAGAUUAUUUAAACAGAAUCAGUAUAUCUUCAUCAAGAUAACUUAAACAGCAGUAUAUCUUCAUCAAGAUAACUUAAACAGCAGUAGAUCUUCAUCAAGAUUACUUAAACAGCAGUAUAUCUUCAUCAAGAUUAUUUAAACAGAAACAGUAUAUCUUCAUCAAGAUAACUUAAACAGCAGUAUAUCUUCAUCAAGAUAACUUAAACAGCAGUAGAUCUUCAUCAAGAUUACUUAAACAGCAGUAUAUCUUCAUCAAGAUUAUUUAAACAGAAGCAGUAUAUCUUCAUCAAGAUUAUUUAAACAGAAGCAGUAUAUCUUCAUCAAUAUUACUUAAACAGCGGUAUAUCUUUUGUAUCACGAGUACUUAAA